RNAcentral lists this transfer RNA (69 nucleotides) under Heterocephalus glaber (naked mole-rat). It matches the Rfam family "tRNA". From Rfam's summary of the family: Transfer RNA (tRNA) molecules are approximately 80 nucleotides in length. Their secondary structure includes four short double-helical elements and three loops (D, anti-codon, and T loops). Further hydrogen bonds mediate the characteristic L-shaped molecular structure. tRNAs have two regions of fundamental functional importance: the anti-codon, which is responsible for specific mRNA codon recognition, and the 3' end, to which the tRNAs corresponding amino acid is attached (by aminoacyl-tRNA synthetases). tRNAs cope with the degeneracy of the genetic code in two manners: having more than one tRNA (with a specific anti-codon) for a particular amino acid; and 'wobble' base-pairing, i.e. permitting non-standard base-pairing at the 3rd anti-codon position. Lineage: Eukaryota; Metazoa; Chordata; Mammalia; Rodentia; Bathyergidae. The record is from Rfam by way of RNAcentral.
UGAAGUGUAGCUCAGUGAUAGAGCAUGUUCUUAGAACGUACAAGCCCUGAGUUCUAUCCCCAGCACCAA